RNAcentral lists this ribosomal RNA (451 nucleotides) under Salmonella enterica subsp. enterica serovar Enteritidis. Its description in RNAcentral is "bacterial SSU rRNA". It matches the Rfam family "Bacterial small subunit ribosomal RNA", at positions 78 to 522 of the family's 1533-position model. The record is from RNAcentral. Lineage: Bacteria; Pseudomonadati; Pseudomonadota; Gammaproteobacteria; Enterobacterales; Enterobacteriaceae.
GCUUGCUGCUUCGCUGACGAGUGGCGGACGGGUGAGUAAUGUCUGGGAAACUGCCUGAUGGAGGGGGAUAACUACUGGAAACGGUGGCUAAUACCGCAUAACGUCUCAAGACCAAAGAGGGGGACCUUCGGGCCUCUUGCCAUCAGAUGUGCCCAGAUGGGAUUAGCUUGUUGGUGAGGUAACGGCUCACCAAGGCGACGAUCCCUAGCUGGUCUGAGAGGAUGACCAGCCACACUGGAACUGAGACACGGUCCAGACUCCUACGGGAGGCACCAGUGGGGAAUAUUGCACAAUGGGCGCAAGCCUGAUGCAGCCAUGCCGCGUGUAUGAAGAAGGCCUUCGGGUUGUAAAGUACUUUCAGCGGGGAGGAAGGUGUUGUGGUUAAUAACCGCAGCAAUUGACGUUACCCGCAGAAGAAGCACCGGCUAACUCCGUGCCAGCAGCCGCGGUA